This is a non-coding RNA of Prunus avium (sweet cherry), 520 nucleotides long. NCBI's taxonomy places the organism in Eukaryota, Viridiplantae, Streptophyta, Magnoliopsida, Rosales, Rosaceae. The record is from RefSeq and is a predicted model, not a curated record.
GACAUGGUAGGUGGAAAGAUGGUGGGAAGAGUUGAUAUAGUGGUUCCGAGGGAUUCAAAGGUUAUCUGGAACACUAAAUCCUCAUCGGAAAUGAAGACCAGAUGUGGCUUGCAAAAGAACUUGGGAAAAGAAGAGGGUAAAAUCCCCCCUGAAACAGAGGAGGAGGAGGAAUCGGCAGGCCCACCAGGUUUUUCAUGAGGGCAGCCCUCAAAGUGCUACUGGUUCAACUGAGGGAAUGACAGGGGAAUCUUCAACUGUUAAUUAACCAUGGAGAUUGAAACUGCAGCUCAAGUGUCAUCACCAACUUUUAACCAGACAUAACCACAGUAGACUAGGCUUCAUCUAGGACCCCUUUGCAUCAGACAUGACCACAGUAGACUAGAUAGCUAGCUUCAACAAAAAUUAUAUAAACCCAUUAAAGAAAAAACAGAGUCCUCUGUUUGUAGCGCCUCUUACUUGUAUUGGAUCUUUUUGGCUUGGUUGUGUCUAUUAUUAUAGAGCCUCCUUCGAUUGACCUAAA